Molecule: ribosomal RNA, 477 nt
Filed under: uncultured bacterium
Lineage: Bacteria
Description: partial 16S ribosomal RNA
Rfam family: Bacterial small subunit ribosomal RNA
Source: RNAcentral
UAGGGAAUCUUCCACAAUGGACGCAAGUCUGAUGGAGCAACGCCGCGUGAGUGAAGAAGGUCUUCGGAUCGUAAAGCUCUGUUGUUGGUGAAGAAGGAUAGAGGCAGUAACUGGUCUUUAUUUGACGGUAAUCAACCAGAAAGUCACGGCUAACUACGUGCCAGCAGCCGCGGUAAUACGUAGGUGGCAAGCGUUGUCCGGAUUUAUUGGGCGUAAAGCGAGCGCAGGCGGAAUGAUAAGUCUGAUGUGAAAGCCCACGGCUCAACCGUGGAACUGCAUCGGAAAACUGUCAUUCUUGAGUGCAGAAGAGGAGAGUGGAACUCCAUGUGUAGCGGUGGAAUGCGUAGAUAUAUGGAAGAACACCAGUGGCGAAAGGCGGCUCUCUGGUCUGCAAACUGACGCUGAGGCUCGAAAGCAUGGGUAGCGAACAGGAUUAGAUACCCUGGUAGUCCAUGCCGUAAACGAUGAGCGCUAGGU